Molecule: ribosomal RNA, 2570 nt
Filed under: Escherichia coli
Lineage: Bacteria; Pseudomonadati; Pseudomonadota; Gammaproteobacteria; Enterobacterales; Enterobacteriaceae
Description: bacterial LSU rRNA
Rfam family: Bacterial large subunit ribosomal RNA
Source: RNAcentral
AUCAACCGAGAUUCCCCCAGUAGCGGCGAGCGAACGGGGAGCAGCCCAGAGCCUGAAUCAGUGUGUGUGUUAGUGGAAGCGUCUGGAAAGGCGCGCGAUACAGGGUGACAGCCCCGUACACAAAAAUGCACAUGCUGUGAGCUCGAUGAGUAGGGCGGGACACGUGGUAUCCUGUCUGAAUAUGGGGGGACCAUCCUCCAAGGCUAAAUACUCCUGACUGACCGAUAGUGAACCAGUACCGUGAGGGAAAGGCGAAAAGAACCCCGGCGAGGGGAGUGAAAAAGAACCUGAAACCGUGUACGUACAAGCAGUGGGAGCCUCUUUAUGGGGUGACUGCGUACCUUUUGUAUAAUGGGUCAGCGACUUAUAUUCUGUAGCAAGGUUAACCGAAUAGGGGAGCCGAAGGGAAACCGAGUCUUAACUGGGCGUUAAGUUGCAGGGUAUAGACCCGAAACCCGGUGAUCUAGCCAUGGGCAGGUUGAAGGUUGGGUAACACUAACUGGAGGACCGAACCGACUAAUGUUGAAAAAUUAGCGGAUGACUUGUGGCUGGGGGUGAAAGGCCAAUCAAACCGGGAGAUAGCUGGUUCUCCCCGAAAGCUAUUUAGGUAGCGCCUCGUGAAUUCAUCUCCGGGGGUAGAGCACUGUUUCGGCAAGGGGGUCAUCCCGACUUACCAACCCGAUGCAAACUGCGAAUACCGGAGAAUGUUAUCACGGGAGACACACGGCGGGUGCUAACGUCCGUCGUGAAGAGGGAAACAACCCAGACCGCCAGCUAAGGUCCCAAAGUCAUGGUUAAGUGGGAAACGAUGUGGGAAGGCCCAGACAGCCAGGAUGUUGGCUUAGAAGCAGCCAUCAUUUAAAGAAAGCGUAAUAGCUCACUGGUCGAGUCGGCCUGCGCGGAAGAUGUAACGGGGCUAAACCAUGCACCGAAGCUGCGGCAGCGACGCUUAUGCGUUGUUGGGUAGGGGAGCGUUCUGUAAGCCUGCGAAGGUGUGCUGUGAGGCAUGCUGGAGGUAUCAGAAGUGCGAAUGCUGACAUAAGUAACGAUAAAGCGGGUGAAAAGCCCGCUCGCCGGAAGACCAAGGGUUCCUGUCCAACGUUAAUCGGGGCAGGGUGAGUCGACCCCUAAGGCGAGGCCGAAAGGCGUAGUCGAUGGGAAACAGGUUAAUAUUCCUGUACUUGGUGUUACUGCGAAGGGGGGACGGAGAAGGCUAUGUUGGCCGGGCGACGGUUGUCCCGGUUUAAGCGUGUAGGCUGGUUUUCCAGGCAAAUCCGGAAAAUCAAGGCUGAGGCGUGAUGACGAGGCACUACGGUGCUGAAGCAACAAAUGCCCUGCUUCCAGGAAAAGCCUCUAAGCAUCAGGUAACAUCAAAUCGUACCCCAAACCGACACAGGUGGUCAGGUAGAGAAUACCAAGGCGCUUGAGAGAACUCGGGUGAAGGAACUAGGCAAAAUGGUGCCGUAACUUCGGGAGAAGGCACGCUGAUAUGUAGGUGAAGUCCCUUGCGGAUGGAGCUGAAAUCAGUCGAAGAUACCAGCUGGCUGCAACUGUUUAUUAAAAACACAGCACUGUGCAAACACGAAAGUGGACGUAUACGGUGUGACGCCUGCCCGGUGCCGGAAGGUUAAUUGAUGGGGUCAGCGCAAGCGAAGCUCUUGAUCGAAGCCCCGGUAAACGGCGGCCGUAACUAUAACGGUCCUAAGGUAGCGAAAUUCCUUGUCGGGUAAGUUCCGACCUGCACGAAUGGCGUAAUGAUGGCCAGGCUGUCUCCACCCGAGACUCAGUGAAAUUGAACUCGCUGUGAAGAUGCAGUGUACCCGCGGCAAGACGGAAAGACCCCGUGAACCUUUACUAUAGCUUGACACUGAACAUUGAGCCUUGAUGUGUAGGAUAGGUGGGAGGCUUGGAAGUGUGGACGCCAGUCUGCAUGGAGCCGACCUUGAAAUACCACCCUUUAAUGUUUGAUGUUCUAACGUUGACCCGUAAUCCGGGUUGCGGACAGUGUCUGGUGGGUAGUUUGACUGGGGCGGUCUCCUCCUAAAGAGUAACGGAGGAGCACGAAGGUUGGCUAAUCCUGGUCGGACAUCAGGAGGUUAGUGCAAUGGCAUAAGCCAGCUUGACUGCGAGCGUGACGGCGCGAGCAGGUGCGAAAGCAGGUCAUAGUGAUCCGGUGGUUCUGAAUGGAAGGGCCAUCGCUCAACGGAUAAAAGGUACUCCGGGGAUAACAGGCUGAUACCGCCCAAGAGUUCAUAUCGACGGCGGUGUUUGGCACCUCGAUGUCGGCUCAUCACAUCCUGGGGCUGAAGUAGGUCCCAAGGGUAUGGCUGUUCGCCAUUUAAAGUGGUACGCGAGCUGGGUUUAGAACGUCGUGAGACAGUUCGGUCCCUAUCUGCCGUGGGCGCUGGAGAACUGAGGGGGGCUGCUCCUAGUACGAGAGGACCGGAGUGGACGCAUCACUGGUGUUCGGGUUGUCAUGCCAAUGGCACUGCCCGGUAGCUAAAUGCGGAAGAGAUAAGUGCUGAAAGCAUCUAAGCACGAAACUUGCCCCGAGAUGAGUUCUCCCUGAC